Molecule: long non-coding RNA, 1084 nt
Organism: Dromaius novaehollandiae (emu)
Lineage: Eukaryota; Metazoa; Chordata; Aves; Casuariiformes; Dromaiidae
Exons: 4
Source: RefSeq, a predicted model, not a curated record
AGGUUUUAGUGCUGUGAAUGUGAGGUCUGCUCUUCUCUUGCCCGAUGAAGAGUGUGGAGUACCACAGCGAGAAGAGCUUAGCAUCCCUGGACGAUGGCGGGAUGAUAGAAAAGCCCUCCAGACCCCAGGAGAGAGAAGCUCAGCGUGGAGAAUUCGAACACAAAGCCAGAGGCAGCCUUCACCCAGGUCAUCUGUUCCGGAGAGAGCAGAGACAGGUAACGGUACGAAGCUACCCGGAGCUUCUGCAUGGAGAGAAGGUCAGAAGUUAGCUAGAAAGUUGCUUGGUCCACCCCCUAAAUUUGCAAAGCCGAAGAGCACAGCUGAAGAGCACAUCACUGCAAAUACCUUGGAGCCUGGUAGAGGAUUUGCAGCAAUGCCGGCGAGGGAACACAGCUCUAGAGAAAGGGGAAACGAACCCGUGGGGAAAAGCCCUGAAUUCAAAAGCUGCGUGGUACCCCGCAGCGAGCCUGCUGAAAGGGGCAGAAAUACACCAGACGAGGACACAAAACAGAUACUCAGGAACCUACAUUUGCAAAGCAAACAUCAUGAUGAACACCGAAAUACCAGGCUCCCAGAAGAUACUGCAAAAGGAAAGGCAGAAGAUCUGCAACAAUACCUAGGGAUCAGUUCUCCUUCCCCUGGGGCUGAGGGCAUGACUCCCUCUGCCUUCAGUGGGGAAAAGACAAGAUCUUCAUUAAUAAGAGCUGAAACCGAGUACAGAAACCGCAGCAGAGGAAAAAGCACUUCUCCUCAAAGACGGAAAGGCUCAAGAAGCCCGGCACAGAAAGGGUCUGAAAAGGAAAACCUUAACCACCCUUCAAAGAGGAGGGCAAACAUGAAAAAGCCUCACCCCUACAGCCCUGAAAUUAUUCAAGAGUUUAUAUAUCGAAAGAAUGCAGAAAGAAAGAAAAAAAGCCUGGAAGAGAAGAAGUCUUUGGUGCAGGCCAUGGAGAUGAGAAAUAAGAGGUUACAAGAAGUAUACAGGAAACAGAAAGAAGCUUUUGGAAAGAAAACAUGUUCUGAGCAGACGCAUAAGUUCAUCAAGGAAACAGCUUCUGCAGAAGAAAGCCCUCAGCAUAAACCU